CCUACGGGAGGCAGCAGUGAGGAAUAUUGGUCAAUGGUCGGGAGACUGAACCAGCCAAGCCGCGUGAGGGAUGAAGGUACAGAGUAUCGUAAACCUCUUUUGUCAGGGAACAAAGGCGGGGACGCGUCCCCGGAUGAGUGUACCUGAAGAUAAAGCAUCGGCUAACUCCGGGCCAGCAGCCGCGGUAAUACGGAGGAUGCGAGCGUUGUCCGGAUUGAUUGGGUUUAAAGGGUGCGCAGGCGGUCUGUUAAGUCAGAGGUAAAAGCCCGGGGCUCAACCCGGGCCCGCCGUUGAAACUGGCAGUCUCGAGUUGGAGAGAAGUAUGCGGAAUGCGCGGUGUAGCGGUGAAAUGCAUAGAUAUCGCGAAGAACUCCGAUUGCGAAGGCAGCAUGCCGGCUCCACACUGACGCUGAGGCACGAAAGCGUGGGUAUCGAACAGGAUUAGAUACCCCAGUAGUC
Molecule: ribosomal RNA, 459 nt
Filed under: uncultured bacterium
Lineage: Bacteria
Description: partial 16S ribosomal RNA
Rfam family: Bacterial small subunit ribosomal RNA
Source: RNAcentral